AAUAGAUACCCGGGUAGUCCACGCCGUAAACGAUGAGUGCUAAGUGUUAGAGGGUUUCCGCCCUUUAGUGCUGCAGCUAACGCAUUAAGCACUCCGCCUGGGGAGUACGGCCGCAAGGCUGAAACUCAAAGGAAUUGACGGGGGCCCGCACAAGCGGUGGAGCAUGUGGUUUAAUUCGAAGCAACGCGAAGAACCUUACCAGGCCUUGACAUCCUCUGCCAACCCUAAAGAUAGGGCGUUCCCCCUUCGGGGGACAGAGUGACAGGUGGUGCAUGGUUGUCGUCAGCUCGUGUCGUGAGAUGUUGGGUUAAGUCCCGCAACGAGCGCAACCCUUGAUCUUAGUUGCCAGCAUUCAGUUGGGCACUCUAAGGUGACUGCCGGUGACAAACCGGAGGAAGGUGGGGAUGGACGUCAAAUCAUCAUGCCCCUUAUGACCUGGGUCUACACACGUGCUACAAUGGAUGGUACAAAGAGCUGCGAACCCGCGAGGGUAAGCGAAUCUCAAUAAAGACCAUUCUCAGUUCGGAUUGUAGGUCUGA
This 539-nucleotide ribosomal RNA is filed under the name uncultured bacterium. RNAcentral describes it as "bacterial SSU rRNA". It matches the Rfam family "Bacterial small subunit ribosomal RNA", at positions 777 to 1309 of the family's 1533-position model. The record is from RNAcentral.